Molecule: microRNA precursor, 128 nt
Filed under: Marmota monax (woodchuck)
Lineage: Eukaryota; Metazoa; Chordata; Mammalia; Rodentia; Sciuridae
Source: RNAcentral
AUCAGAAUCACUUGGAGAGCUUGAUAAAACACAAAUUGUUGGGCUCUACCCCCAGAGUUUCUGACUCAGUAGGUCUGGCAUGAAGUUUGAGAAUUUGCAUUUCUGACAAGUUCGCAGGGGGUGCUGAU